CCAGAUUGCUAGUUACAUAAUUUUAUACUUUUGCGGAUUAAAUAUCCAUUGGCUUUCUAGGAGCACAUGCCAGGGGCAGCAGGAGGAAGCAAAGAGCCGCUUCUCAUGUCUCGUCUAUUUCUGUGCUCUUUUCCUUAAGAUUUUUGUGUUUCUCUUACUUUU
Non-coding RNA from Caenorhabditis elegans, 162 nucleotides. The record is from Ensembl. Lineage: Eukaryota; Metazoa; Nematoda; Chromadorea; Rhabditida; Rhabditidae.